Molecule: long non-coding RNA, 1175 nt
Filed under: Equus caballus (horse)
Lineage: Eukaryota; Metazoa; Chordata; Mammalia; Perissodactyla; Equidae
Description: lncRNA (ENSECAG00000050140.1)
Source: RNAcentral
UCUCCCAGGAGCCUGCAUCUCAGCAUUGCGUGCAGUGUAGGCUGCUGUGGGAGGCAAGUCUCCAGGGACCGCCCUGCGACUCACCCCCCAAGGGCAAGGCCCCACCUCUACCCUUUCCUCAUGUCAGCCCAGGACGCUUGGGGACCCGCCAUCUUGGUCUGCACACAGGAGUGCUGGCCUGUCUCUUGAGAAAUGCUGCCAUCUCAAGGGCCUCAAUGCUGUCGUUGUCCAAAAGAAUGAAUCCACUUCAAUGUCCAUCCUUUUGGUGAGAAUCCAAGCUCAACCAAAGUGACCCCUUCAAGGCCCCACAAAUGGCACCUGUGCCAAGGGUUGACUUCAGUCAUCGCUAAAACCAGGACUCAAAGGUCAAGGCGUCAUAACAACCCAAAGCACAUCAGGGUCGCCCAGACAGCCCAGGGAGCGUUUCUCAGUCAUGUGCAUCUUUCAGUUAUUUACUGUGCUCAGAUUAUGCCAGGAAGGCUCUUGGCCGGAGAGUUCUUCCUGCACUUGUCUGGCUUCAGAGGGCUGGCGGGAAGGCACAUGGGAGAUGAAGUCAGCAGCACCCUCCAGCGCUGCCACGGGGAGAGAAGGAACCCUCGGAUGCCCCCAGAUCUCCUCUCCUCUCCCAGCCCCCACCCACUCAGCCCCAGGAAGGGUGGUGUGGCUGAACAAGCCAAUGCCUCUCCUGGAGGCUGCCUUGGCCUCGCGGUCUCAGUCUGUGGAAGGACCUGGAGCCAUGAGAAUUGGUCUGGCCGGCUCCGUGGAGGUGGCCUGUCCUGGAUGUGCAAUUGGAGUCAAGAUCAAAUUCUCUCUCCAACUGACAGUGGUCUGGUUUGACAUGGUGGAGAAGGUCAAGACGAUGCCGCUCAACACUUGCCUCCUCAGAUGGAUUUCCAGAUUCACUUCCUGCCAAUCACGCAGUUACUCCAUCCUCUGCAGGACCCAGGCAGCCUCUUUGGUUUUACAGGAUUUGAUGCAAUCAACUUGAGCUUAUAAACGUGUCUUUUUUUUUUUACUAUAAUAGCAAUACAUAUUCAUUAACACAUUUUGGAGAAUACAAAAAAUAGUUGAAAUAAAAGCAUAUUUGUUGAUUGAAAAUUGCUUUCUAAACGUCAAUUAGCUCUUCCAUGGAAUCAUAAAAUCUCAGAGUUGGGAGGGAGCUUGGAGGUCACGUU